UAUCGGGAUUACUGGGCGUAAGCGCACGCAGGCGGUCUGUCAAGUCGGAUGUGAAAUCCCCGGGCUCAACCUGGGAACUGCAUUCGAAACUGGCAGGCUAGAGUCUUGUAGAGGGGGGUAGAAUUCCAGGUGUAGCGGUGAAAUGCGUAGAGAUCUGGAGGAAUACCGGUGGCGAAGGCGGCCCCCUGGACAAAGACUGACGCUCAGGUGCGAAAGCGUGGGGAGCAAACAGGAUUAGAUACCCUGGUAGUCCACGCCGUAAACGAUGUCGACUUGGAGGUUGUGCCCUUGAGGCGUGGCUUCCGGAGCUAACGCGUUAAGUCGACCGCCUGGGGAGUACGGCCGCAAGGUUAAAACUCAAAUGAAUUGACGGGGGCCCGCACAAGCGGUGGAGCAUGUGGUUUAAUUCGAUGCAACGCGAAGAACCUUACCUACUCUUGACAUCCAGAGAACUUUCCAGAGAUGGAUUGGUGCCUUCGGGAACUCUGAGACAGGUGCUGCAUGGCUGUCGUCAGCUCGUGUUGUGAAAUGUUGGGUUAAGUCCCGCAACGAGCGCAACCCUUAUCCUUUGUUGCCAGCGGUUAGGCCGGGAACUCAAAGGAGACUGCCAGUGAUAAA
This 618-nucleotide ribosomal RNA is filed under the name Enterobacter asburiae. RNAcentral describes it as "bacterial SSU rRNA". It matches the Rfam family "Bacterial small subunit ribosomal RNA", at positions 543 to 1162 of the family's 1533-position model. The record is from RNAcentral. Lineage: Bacteria; Pseudomonadati; Pseudomonadota; Gammaproteobacteria; Enterobacterales; Enterobacteriaceae.